AUUGAACGCUGGCGGCAUGCCUAACACAUGCAAGUCGAGCGGAAGAACGGGGGCUGGCCCCUGGUUGCGAGGGGGACAGGGGAGUAAAGUCCAUGAAUCUGCCUGCUAUAGGGGGAUAACGUCCGGAAACGGGCGCUAUUAUCCCACAUGCCAUGUGGGGGAAAGAGGGGGAGCCCUGGAGGCCUCGCGAUCAGAGGAGCCUAUGUCGGAUUAGCUAGUUGGUGGGGUAAAGGCCUACCAAGGCGACGAUCCGUAGCUGGUCUGAGAGGAGGAUCAGACACACUGGGACUGAGACACGGCCCAGACUCCUACGGGAGGCAGCAGUGGGGAAUUUUGGACAAUGGGCGAAAGCCUGAUCCAGCAAUGCCGCGUGUGUGAAGAAGGUCUUCGGGUUGUAAAGCACUUUUGGUUGGAAAGAAAGGCAGUGCGUUAAUACCUUCCUGUGUUGACGUUACCGGAAGAAUAAGCACCGGCUAACUACGUG
This 484-nucleotide ribosomal RNA is filed under the name uncultured bacterium. RNAcentral's name for it is "partial 16S ribosomal RNA". It matches the Rfam family "Bacterial small subunit ribosomal RNA", at positions 30 to 507 of the family's 1533-position model. The record is from RNAcentral.